This 88-nucleotide transfer RNA is filed under the name Pseudonocardiaceae bacterium. Its description in RNAcentral is "tRNA-Ser". It matches the Rfam family "tRNA". Rfam says of the family: Transfer RNA (tRNA) molecules are approximately 80 nucleotides in length. RNAcentral also lists the same sequence under 3 other names. The record is from RNAcentral. Lineage: Bacteria; Bacillati; Actinomycetota; Actinomycetes; Pseudonocardiales; Pseudonocardiaceae.
GGAAGCGUGGCAGAGCGGUCUAAUGCACUCGCCUUGAAAGCGAGCGUACCGAGAGGUACCGGGGGUUCGAAUCCCUCCGCUUCCGCCA